RNAcentral lists this ribosomal RNA (38 nucleotides) under Pythium aphanidermatum. RNAcentral describes it as "partial 28S ribosomal RNA". Lineage: Eukaryota; Oomycota; Peronosporomycetes; Pythiales; Pythiaceae. The record is from RNAcentral.
UUGGACCUGAUUCCAGGUAAGAUUACCCGCUAACUUAA